GUCUAUUUUUCUUAUUAUAAUUAUUAUAUACAUUUUGUCUUGAAAGAGAAACCACACCACAUCGCCAUUUUAAAAGUAACAAAUUUUUUAGAUUGAUGAUAAACUAGUGAGGAGAUUGAAAUUCAUUUUGAUGCUACUGAAAAAACAAGUCGUCUCCCUCCUAUGAUGUUGUGGUGCAUCUGUUAAAUUUCCAUCUUGAAAACUCUUGUAGUUAAUUAAUUAAGAUUGUCCUAACGGGUGAGAAGGAAUUGAUUUUAGUGCUACUAAAACAACCGACGCUUUUGAUGUCUUCACCAUACAAUAUUAUGCCGUUAAUUUUGGCCCCGAGAAUGGGAGGCAACUGAAAAUUAAUUUGGAAACGACGGAAAGAACAUUGUCUGCAGUGGCGUCCCUCCUAGAUUUGAAUUGCUCAUCAUACUGGUAGCCUUUAGAACGCUACUUUCUGUAGUUAAUUAAGAUCGUCCAACAAAUGAGAGAGAAUUAAAGUUCAGUUUGGUCAACCAAUGUUUGGAUGGGUGUGGUUUUUCAUGGAGUAUAUUCUUGAUUUGCUGUUUCGUCUUCGCCUUGCAACAUCAUGUAGUUAAUUUUUAACCCAUGAGUUAGAGCAACUGGAUAUUUAUUUGGUUUCCGCUAAAAUAACAAAUUUUCUGCAAGUGGUAUUUCUCUUGGACUUGGUUUGCUUUUCACACCUGCAAACUUUGGAAUAUUACAGUAUACAGAUAAUUAAGAUCGACGUCGGAGAAGACAAAGAUGACC
RNAcentral lists this long non-coding RNA (756 nucleotides) under Agrilus planipennis (emerald ash borer). RNAcentral's name for it is "uncharacterized LOC108734114, transcript variant X1". Lineage: Eukaryota; Metazoa; Arthropoda; Insecta; Coleoptera; Buprestidae. The record is from RNAcentral.